UCAGCGUGAAACUGAUAACAGAACUGCCAUCGUGUUCAAGCUGGGGCCGCCCCUGACUUGCUUCCUUCCUCUGAGCCUCUGUUCUUCCCGGUGCUGGGGGCUGCUUUGAUCAGGGUUUGGAUUCACUGGUGAUGUCACCGAGUGACUCUAAGAACUUUGCAGAGCUUCCUCGUGAGUCCCUUCCCCCUCACUGCCUUUGACAUUUUUCAUUUAGCAGGCCAGCUCCUGCUUGGGUUACUCAUGCCAGUAAUCCCUGGGCUGGCAGGGGGAUAAUUAGAGAAAGCUGAGUUUAGCUCAAUGGGGAGGUCAAGUUUUCAGACCCACGAUGGGAUCCACACCGAGCAGUAAAAGUGCUUUCUACUGGUGUGGAGUCAACACUUAAAAAAACCUGACGUUUUAAAACAAGUCAGCUGUGGCCCCAAACCAUUCUGCCACUUAAGUCAAACGCUUUAUGACGUUAAUAAAAGAAGGGCUGUGCUAAAUGUGUAUUAUCUUUAUAUUUCCAGGUCUUAGUCCUUAAUUCCACAGAUACUUUCAGCAUCGGGUGUUCACAGGCUGGGAAUCCAAACCCGUGAGCUGCUGGGCAGUGAGGCCAGGCCACCCUCUGACGUAUCCUCCCAGAGCAAUGUCCACAGUGCAAACAAGAACUACUUAGAGUGAUGAACCCUGAGCCAUGCUGCACCAUCUCCUGUUUGAAAGUCUUUUGAGGACAGCGAAAAGUAACAGCCAAGUGACAGGCUGGAGACAGAUUGGGUUCUGAGCGCCGUUUGAGUGGAGGUGAGCCGUAAUCGGACAAAUGAAAGGGGAAAGAUGCUCCCAGUCAGCUGCCUGGUAACUGCAAAGCCCUGAGCCCUCAGGAGAGGAGCCACAAGUCAGCAGAGCACAA
RNAcentral lists this long non-coding RNA (886 nucleotides) under Calidris pugnax (ruff). Its description in RNAcentral is "lncRNA (ENSCPUG00000008120.1)". Lineage: Eukaryota; Metazoa; Chordata; Aves; Charadriiformes; Scolopacidae. The record is from RNAcentral.